ACGACGGUAGAGAUAUCGUUCCUUCGGGGCAGGAAGACAGUGGUGCAUGGUUGUCGUCAGCUCGUGUCGUGAGAUGUUGGGUUAAGUCCCGCAACGAGCGCAACCCUAUUGUUAGUUGCCAUCAUUCAGUUGGGCACUCUAGCGAGACUGCCGGUAAUAAACCGGAGGAAGUGGGAUGACGUCAAAUCAUCAUGCCCCUUAUGACCUGGGCUACACACGUGCUACAAUGGUUGGUACAACGAGUUGCGAGUCGGUGACGGCGAGCUAAUCUCUUAAAGCCAAUCUCAGUUCGGAUUGUAGGCUGCAACUCGCCUACAUGAAGUCGGAAUCGCUAGUAAUCGCGGAUCAGCACGCCGCGGUGAAUACGUUCCCGGGCCUU
Molecule: ribosomal RNA, 379 nt
Filed under: uncultured Streptococcus sp.
Lineage: Bacteria; Bacillati; Bacillota; Bacilli; Lactobacillales; Streptococcaceae
Description: bacterial SSU rRNA
Rfam family: Bacterial small subunit ribosomal RNA
Source: RNAcentral